CAUGUAGGCGGAUUAAUAAGUUUGAAGUGAAAUCCUAUAGCUUAACUAUAGAACUGCUUUGAAAACUGUUAAUCUAGAAUGUGGGAGAGGUAGAUGGAAUUUCUGGUGUAGGGGUAAAAUCCGUAGAGAUCAGAAGGAAUACCGACUGCGAAGGCGAUCUACUGGAACAUUAUUGACGCUGAGAUGCGAAAGCGUGGGGAGCAAACA
Molecule: ribosomal RNA, 207 nt
Filed under: uncultured bacterium
Lineage: Bacteria
Description: partial 16S ribosomal RNA
Rfam family: Bacterial small subunit ribosomal RNA
Source: RNAcentral